UACGAAGGGGGCUAGCGUUGUUCGGAUUUACUGGGCGUAAAGCGCACGUAGGCGGAUUGUUAAGUCGGGGGUGAAAUCCUGGAGCUCAACUUCAGAAUUGCCUUCGAUACUGGCUUUCUAGAGGCUGGAAGAGGUUAGUGGAAUUCCCAGUGUAGAGGUGAAAUUCGUAGAUAUUGGGAAGAACACCAGUGGCGAAGGCGGCUAACUGGUCCGGUACUGACGCUGAGGUGCGAAAGCGUGGGGAGCAAACAGG
Molecule: ribosomal RNA, 253 nt
Filed under: uncultured bacterium
Lineage: Bacteria
Description: partial 16S ribosomal RNA
Rfam family: Bacterial small subunit ribosomal RNA
Source: RNAcentral